This is a long non-coding RNA of Megalobrama amblycephala (Wuchang bream), 1176 nucleotides long. RefSeq lists it as uncharacterized. The transcript has 3 exons. Lineage: Eukaryota; Metazoa; Chordata; Actinopteri; Cypriniformes; Xenocyprididae. The record is from RefSeq and is a predicted model, not a curated record.
AGGCGUUUCAAAGAUGGCCGCCGAGUGAAAUUACUUGUCUUAAAGGGACUUUUAUAAAACUGAAAAGACUCAUAUGACUCUCAUCACGUUUGACAUGACAAGAGACCAGUUGAACCGUGAGUAAACAAGCGCUAGCCGGAGUUUUUAACCGUUGCACUCGCGUGUCACGUCCUCUGCGACAUCUCGCGCAUGACACUGCAUUUAAAUUUGGAAAAGAAAUACAAAACUGACGGGAGCUGCUCCGGUGGAAAACAGUGACUGGAUCUAACACCUUAAGAUGAUGCACAGCUCAUAUAUCUGUCGCUGUUUCUCUGCAAGGUUCCUGUUUCCCAAUGUCUAAGAGUUGCAGAGGACAAGCUCUGUCCUGUCAAAAUGAAUCCGCUCCAUCUCCUUCAGUCUGUGACAAUAAGAAUGUCUCCGUUAAGAUCCUGGAUCACUGACAAACAAAGCAUUGCACUGGCAUGACAGAAAAGUGAUGACAGACCACCUAUACCCCCUGCUGAUAUUUUAGAGGAGAUGGCUGCUGGACAAAGCUAGACAGAAGACAAGCCCUGAACAGGAUGGUCCCGCAUCUGAUUUGAAGACAGUGGAUAUGCACAACAUAGACAGAGUUUCACCGAGAUCAAUGUAGGAUGAUGGUAUGAUAUCAAUGUUUGCGGUAGGAGGAUGAGUUGGCAGAACAAUAUGGCUGGCCUAUCUUUUUCUCUCUUUUUUUUGGCAUUGUUGGUUGAAGCUGAGUGUACUGAGUUCAGAAAGGGACUGGUGCUGUCCAUUGAACUGUGACUACUCAAACAUAGAGAAAGCAAGAAAGAGAUUGCUUUCAGUUGAGGAUUGUUUCACUUUAAUUCCUGUUAUGUGGGUGGAUUUCCUUCACUGAACCAGAAGUAUAUACAAGACAUUUCUGGUACUGUGCUCCUCAGAUUUUAAUCAGAUUUAUCACACCUCUCUGUAUGUCUGAGUAAUGCGUGACGACAGAGUUCAUCCGAGGUUUCGGAAAGCUCACACCACAGUGACAUAUUCUCCAGUGAGUUCAUUGAGGUUUGCCAGCCACGUGAAACAGCAAAUGAUUUCCUUUUAGCUACACAGUCUACAAGUUAACAUUUUGAAAUGUUAUUGAUGAUUUUGAUGAUGUGAUUGGUGUAUUGCAAAAAUGACAAUACACACACAUAUACAAAU